GGGGAAUUUUGGACAAUGGGCGAAAGCCUGAUCCAGCCAUUCCGCGUGAGUGAAGAAGGCCUUCGGGUUGUAAAGCUCUUUCGGCAGGAACGAAACGCUCUAGAUUAAUACUCUGGGGUAAUGACGGUACCUGAAGAAGAAGCACCGGCUAACUACGUGCCAGCAGCCGCGGUAAUACGUAGGGUGCGAGCGUUAAUCGGAAUUACUGGGCGUAAAGCGUGCGCAGGCGGUUUUGUAAGACAGAUGUGAAAUCCCCGGGCUUAACCUGGGAACUGCGUUUGUGACUGCAAGACUCGAGUACGGCAGAGGGGGGUGGAAUUCCACGUGUAGCAGUGAAAUGCGUAGAGAUGUGGAGGAACACCGAUGGCGAAGGCAGCCCCCUGGGUCGAUACUGACGCUCAUGCACGAAAGCGUGGGGAGCAAAC
RNAcentral lists this ribosomal RNA (425 nucleotides) under uncultured bacterium. Its description in RNAcentral is "bacterial SSU rRNA". It matches the Rfam family "Bacterial small subunit ribosomal RNA", at positions 356 to 773 of the family's 1533-position model. The record is from RNAcentral.